CACGUCAGCCUUUGUCAGAUCGGAAACAGCAGAGAGCUGACAGGAGAUGAAGGAGGAAAUAUGGUGGAUAACGUUGCGACUACAUUGCUGGCAUCUUAAGCCCUGUUCGCCUCCAGGACAGCGUCUACCAGCAAUUUAACAUACAGUAGGCCCAAAAUGCAUCAUCCAUCCAUGUAACAGUGUUACAUAAGAUAUUGCCUCUGGGAAAUAUCAUGCAUGACAGACAGAUUAACAGACUGAAACAACGCUUCACCCGAGUUUCCCCUCCUGGCUUCGAUGUGCAGACAGCAACAUCACCUCCUCUUUUGGAUGCUCCGCGACAGCCAUAAAGGAGUCCGUAAAAUAACUGCCAGUCCCGGUGACCUCCUGCCGGAGACAGUUCACGGGGCUGACUCUCUCACCUAGUGGGCACGGCCGUUUUAUCUCCACAGGC
Long non-coding RNA from Acanthopagrus latus (yellowfin seabream), 433 nucleotides. RefSeq lists it as uncharacterized. The transcript is spliced from 3 exons. The record is from RefSeq and is a predicted model, not a curated record. NCBI's taxonomy places the organism in Eukaryota, Metazoa, Chordata, Actinopteri, Spariformes, Sparidae.